This 4688-nucleotide long non-coding RNA is filed under the name Heterocephalus glaber (naked mole-rat). RNAcentral describes it as "lncRNA (ENSHGLG00100034729.1)". The record is from RNAcentral. Lineage: Eukaryota; Metazoa; Chordata; Mammalia; Rodentia; Bathyergidae.
UUCAGGCAACCCUUGGCACUCCAUUGUGUGGGGUAGGUGCGGCUGGGAGCCCUUCUCCCCCAGGUUCCACUUGCCCUUCACUGGUGGGAGACCUGGAAGCCCCUUCCUAAUGCCUCCAGGCCUUGGCAGUGAGCUCUCAGUGGGCCCCUGUCUGUGGAAAGCACUCCACCCACAGAACCUGAGACGUUAUCUAGACUGGUUUUCAUUUUACACCUGUGGAAACUGAGUCCCAGAGAGGUGAAACGGCUCGUCCAAGCCACACAGCUCUAGGUGUUGCUGAAGCAGGACUGCACUCUCCUGGCUCCUGGUUCAAAGUGCUUUCCAGAAUUUUCAAAUGGUUCCAAACUCUGUUUUGAUUUGUGCAACCUUGGGCAUGCUAAUUCAGUUCCCUGGGACAGAAAUUUUCAUCCUUGUGAAGAAGAAAUGUUGAGUGUCUACUUUGAGGGACAGCGUGCAUUGUGUGGAUUAUUAGAAAGCAGUGAGGUCCUAACAGGUGCCAGCCAUCUCCUGAGCAGUCACGCUGGAUCACUGUCCCUGGGGGUGGGAGCCACCCUGUUUCAUACCUGCAGGGCCUGCCCCACCCCACCCCUAACCCCUCUGGCAGGUCUGUGGCAGUGAUCUCUCCUCACCUGUUGCGGCCAGCACCUGGGGAGGCCUUGGUGUUUCUCCUGCAACCUGGGUCUGAACUGGCAGCUUGUGUGGUGCACAGACACCGGGGCACCGGGGUAGUAGAAGCAGAGAGGAAAGUCAGAGUUAGCUCCUCAACCACUAUGUUUGGAAAGGCGAGAUCCCCCUCCCAGGAACCUUCACACUCAUCCUGUGUCUCACACACUGUGCCUGUGAAGUUGGUGGGGAAUCUUUGUUGGUUUGUUUUGUUUUUCUUGUGCUGGGGAUAGAACCCAGGACCUUGGGCAUGCCGGGCAAGCCUCCACCACCGAGCUCCACCCCCAUCCCGAGAACUGAAGAAUGAAUUCUAAGGAACAACAGAGGUUAAGAAUAGGGAAGAUUGGGCCGGGGAUUUAGCUCAGUGGUUUCGUCGCCUGCUGCACAAGCGCAAGGACCUGAGUUCGAUCCCCAUUACAAAAAAAAAAAAAAAAUAGGGAAGAUUUAUUGAGAGGUAGCUGCUGAGAGACAGGAAGGGGCCUGAAAGUGGCUGCCACUGAGGCCAUUUCUCCAACAGUGUAUUAUAGAGUAAAAUUCUGAGGUGAGUACAACGUGGGUCACACUGUAAUCAGUCAGUAAGAUUACAAGUAUAGCCGAUUAGCUAAUAUUGAUCUGAAAGAGAAGCGGGUCUCAUAGCAGGGGUACAUGGAAAGAACAAAGGCAUUUUUGGGAAGGGAUGGCCCAGAUGCUCGGAUCACCCAGCUGGGCGACUGAUGUCUAUCUGGACUUUACUGGACCAGAUGACACCAAUUAUAGUGCAACUCCUAGUUGCUGUUGGGAGGCAUACAGGCCUGGUCACUGCAUCUUUAUCUUGUGCCUUGGCCUUCUUCAGAUGCACCUCCAGCCACAGUUCUGAUGUCUUUAUUUUUUCUGCUCUCUUCCUUGACAGCCCAGCCCCUCUCUGACUGUAUAUUCAUUUCCAUCUAACUUAGCUGCCUGCAGUAGGAGGCCACCUUAGGUCUUCUCCCAUCUCUUACACACCUGCUCAGUGGCUCUGGUCCAUUUGGUCAUCAGGCAGAUGUGUCCCGGGUCCUUUUACCUGCUGGGCCUGGUGCCCAAGCCUUGUGAUGGAGCCCCAGCCCGCCCAGGGGGUGAGGAAGGCUGUUGCAGGGUGGAGUCCCAGGAAAGCUCCCGGAGGUCUUGGUUUUCUUCUGCUUUCUCACUGUUGGGCCGUCAAGGGGCCUGGAGAGGAGGGGAGCGGUUUGGAACUUGAGAGGGGCUUGCUCCCCUAGAAGGCUGCCGCUCUGCUCCUUAACUUUCCUAGAGGUCACCCCUCCACUUCCCUCCUCUUCCUGCCCCUCCUCUCCAGGUGAGCCUUCAGGCGGCUCUCCUGAUUGAGCUUCUGUUUGCCAGCUACACAGAGUGCUCCGGGGGCACCGGGCAGGAGGAUUUGAGUAGGGAGAGUUAGACCCUGUCCCCUGGCCCUUGCUUCUGCUCCAGAAGUCAGAGGAGGGGAGCUCCCCAGAUCUGGCAUGGAGGAGUGGCCACUGGGAUCUGUCACUCUCAAGCGUGGAUGAGAAGUGCACCUUGGGGCUUAGGACCAGCCGAGUCAGGGAAAGUGGCACCGAACCACUUCUUGUUCCAGGGCCUCCCUGAGUCUGGGGACCAGGCCCUGGAGGGAAGGGCUGGUGGCUGGAGUUGGCAUCAUGGGAGUCCAACCCCACCCUGGGCACCUGGAAUGGGCAGUGGGGGAGACUGAGGCAUGGGGGAUAAGACAGUGGGGCUUAGGAGGACGGGGAACUCCUCAGGUUGGGCUGGGCUGGGAAUGCUAAAAGGUAGGGGUGGCAAGAGUGCUUGGACCCCCAGGACAGAGUGGACUGGAAAAGAGGGGGAGUACGGGCUCCACAACCUAAGAACAGAGGGGCGGUGGGCGGGCGAGCGAGCGAGCGGGCUGCUUCCUUCCCAACUCCUUAACUCCUUUCAAUGAAUACUUCCUUGGCCCAGCCCCCAGUUACCUGGCUGAGGGCCUCCCGGACCGGGGAGGCUGCUCCACAGUUCCGGGGUUGUGGGAGGAUGGGGAAAUUCCUCUCCCCGCCUUAGAAGGUCUUGCUCCUGCUAGAGAGAACUGAGGAGCCUGGGGAAGGCAGGUGCCAUGACUGAUGGACGCUGGAGAGCUGCAAUUAAUUUUAAACAAGGUUGCCUGGACUUGGAGAACAAGGGCAGGUCAUGGGUGAGGCUGGGCUGCCAAAGUCUCUGUUUGCCCAGGGAGGACCUGGUCCCUUGAGUACUCACAGCAGGUGAGUGUCCGGCCUCCCACACUGAGGGUGGGGAGUGGAGUGGGCUGGAUGCCUUUGCCCCAGAACCCCUCCCUCCAGGCUGCGCAGCCCCACCCUGGGGUCUCUCCUUUCCCUCAGGGACCCUGGGAGAUGUGGCAGUGGGGAAAGGUCACCUUGAACCCAGGGCAGGCCAGCUCAGACUAAGGUCUGGUCCCGGAACCUCCCUCUUGGGACGGUGGGUCCCAGAGACCCUCCCCUUUCCAAAGGGUGGGGAUUUGGGGAGAAGUCCCCUCUGCUGGUCUAGGGACUGCCAAGCCGCACAAGGUGGCCCUGGAACACCUGCAGCUGCUUUGUAAUCCUCAGGGCCCCUGGGCUGAGUGCUCCUUGGAAAGAUAAAGAAGUGCAGGUGCCUGCCUCUGCUUGAGAUGCUUCGGUUGGCCUCGGAUGAGUGAGGGGUGGUGUCGAGGGGCACCAGAGCCAGCCCUUGGCCUCUGUGGUCCGUGCAGAGGACCAGCUGGUGUUCGGCAUGCCUGGGAUGAGGGGGAGGAAGAGGAAGGCUCCGCAGCUCUGAGUGGUGCGAAGUUCUGUCCUCCGCUGUCCCUCCUCUUUUUCCUCUACCUCCUCCCCUCCUCCUUCGCUCCUCCUCUUCUCCUCUACUUUAUUUUAGUUUUGGGUUCUUGAAGCGGGGUCUCAGUGUAGCCCUGCUGGCCUCCAGCCCCAUCCCUCUGCCUCCGUCUCCAAGUGCUUGAGUGAUUACGGGCCUGGGCCACCAUGCCGACCCUUCCCCACCUCUUCUGAUAGUUGACUUGAUUUUCCCUGGUUUGUUUUUCAUUUUUGUUUCUGUGUUUUUGUACUGACAAUUGAACUCGGCCCAGCACCUUUACACUAAGGUAUAUUCCCAGCUGUAAAAAAUUGUUUUUUAACUUUCAUCUUGAGACAGUCUCACUGGGCAGCUAAGUUACUGAAGAAGGCCGUGCUGGGAUUUACAGUCCUCUUGCCUCAGCCUCCUACAGCGCCGAGAUGACGGAUGUGCACCAUCACACCCGGCUGAGUUUCCCUUUCGUAGUCGCCUCUCAGCAGAGCUCACUGCAGUGGGAGCCGCUGUCAGGAAGCGAGACCCGGAGGCCGCUGCUGGGCCCAGCAGUGUGGGCUUUGCUGCCUGUGCGGACCUCUCUGCCGAGAAUGGAAGCCUGUGGGGAUGUGGGGCAACGGAAAGGCGGCCCAGGACGUGGCGGGGUCAUUGGCUGGGCAGUGCAGUUUGAAGCCCCUGUGAGACCCGGACCUGGGACUCCCCCACUGCUCUGAGAGAGUUGCAGUGGCCUGUGGGGAACCCUCUUCCCCCCUGAAUGCUGGGCUCGGGGAGAAGCUCUCAGGGGAGGUCUUCAGACCUAGGUCACCAAGGGUUUCAGGGACAGAUUGAACCCAGCCUGGCAGAGUGCAGCGUUUUCCUCCCUUCGCCUCUGUCCCUGCCCUGGGCUGGGGGUUGUGGCACAACAGCUCAGGAGCAGGAGGUGGGAGUCGGAAUCGGAAGUGUCACUCGCAGCAAAGGGGAACUGAGCCAGGCCGGGCAGAGGCCUCUGGAUAGCCAGGCCUGCGCAACAGGGGAUUUAGUCGGUUAGAUUUUGGCUUUCCCUACUCACAGGCGAGGGCAAUUGCAGAGAUAUUCCAGUGCAGAAAGUAGCUGGCAUCUGUUUGGUUCUGGGGUGUGCUGAGGUUUAAAAGUCAUAUUUACCUCAUUAAUUAUGUCAGCCUUCAGCUAAUAUUAACCUGCAUUUCCUGACUGGGCAGCCAGGGGUGGCACCGAGGGGC